GGAUUGCUGUUUUAUACGACAGGAAUCGAUAUCCCAGGGGCCAUAAAUUCCUUUAGGGAGCUGUCCCUGUUUUGACUUGCGGGUCGAGAUACACGGCACCCACCUGCAUCGCAGGCCACAUGAGGAUAAGUCACCAUCGGUAAAGUCGGCAAUACC
Molecule: non-coding RNA, 156 nt
Filed under: Alphaproteobacteria bacterium
Lineage: Bacteria; Pseudomonadati; Pseudomonadota; Alphaproteobacteria
Description: 6S RNA
Rfam family: 6S / SsrS RNA
About the family: E. coli 6S RNA was the first non coding RNA to be sequenced, but its function was unknown until recently.
Source: RNAcentral